UACGAAGGGGGCGAGCGUUGUUCGGAUUUACUGGGCGUAAAGGGCGCGUAGGCGGCCUUGUCAGUCAGGCGUGAAAGCCCCGGGCUCAACCUGGGAACGGCGCUUGGGACGGGGAGGCUGGAGUUCGGGAGAGGAGAGUGGAAUUCCCAGUGUAGAGGUGAAAUUCGUAGAUAUUGGGAAGAACACCGGUGGCGAAGGCGGCUCUCUGGACCGACACUGACGCUGAGGCGCGAAAGCGUGGGGAGCAAACAGG
RNAcentral lists this ribosomal RNA (253 nucleotides) under uncultured bacterium. RNAcentral describes it as "partial 16S ribosomal RNA". It matches the Rfam family "Bacterial small subunit ribosomal RNA", at positions 524 to 776 of the family's 1533-position model. The record is from RNAcentral.